Odontomachus brunneus is the source of this 1772-nucleotide long non-coding RNA. RefSeq lists it as uncharacterized. The record is from RefSeq and is a predicted model, not a curated record. Lineage: Eukaryota; Metazoa; Arthropoda; Insecta; Hymenoptera; Formicidae. The transcript has 2 exons.
CUUCACUUGUGUUGACAUGUAAAUGUUUAUUACACGAUUAAAUAUAAUUUCUAUGCGACUAAGAGCUAUUGCGACUGUGAUGUUAUACUUUCUAUUGGAAAAACGACAUUUUCAUCUGAACUUGCUGAAACGUCUACUGUAUCUUCUCGAAUGCCUUUCUCUAGUGCUCCAGACGCUUUCGGACGUUUCCAUCUCAAUCUUUUGGCAACGUACCGGCGCGACUUCUUAAUCCGUCUUUUAAAAUCAACUGCGGGAAGGCAAUGAGAACGCGUAAAAACCGCUAGGAACAGUGAGUAAAGCGCAAAUACGACAAUCUGCGACGACAAUUCCGAAACUUUAUGAGCGUUCGAAGGAGCGUGACUCGAGUUAGCGCAGUAAAACUGUGUAAUGGUCUUCUCGUACGAAGUAUCGAUAAUAAGCGCGCCAUAAUCCACUAUAAUCGCUCUCGCGUCUACUUGAGCCACUUCAUUCUCCAAUUUAAAAGAGUAUCGGAAGGUACAUUUGUGUGCAAUUCGGUUGUAUGCUUUCGCAAUGAUAUUGCGAAAUCUCUUAGAACUCGUUAUUUCUUUCCUCGUGAGCGACACGAAGUAUAUGCUGGAUCGAAUAAAUUCCGUCCGUAAGCGCAGCGCGUGCAUGCAUGAUCGGAUAUUUCCAUACGAUGAACGGAAGCCUAUGCACUGUUUCAUUUCUCUUCCACACGACAAAGAAUUUAUCGAUCUUCGAGAUUACACCACUAGGAGACGCGCCUCACAUCUUCCUCAUGUAUUUUAAAUAGAUCAAAGAUAGAUGGACACAUUUAAAUAAGCAUAAAUGAAUACGCGACACAUGAAACGACGUUGAUACUUUUGCGAACAAUUUGCAAGCUACAGGAAAAUGCUUUUUGCGAAUCGUAGCAGGUAACUAAAUCGCGUUUCUCGAUUCAAUGCCGUAAACUUUAAAGGAAUUUUUAUUUGAUUUCACAAAAGCAAAACAUUUGUAUACCUAGAGAAUUCGAGGGAGAGAAUUUUUUGUGUUCGAAAUAAAUUAUACUAAAAUAUAUAUAUAAAACACAUUUCUUUUACUAUACUACAUAUUUUAUAUAUUGUAUUAAAAUAUAUAAUUUUAGUUAAAUAUAAAUAUAUGUGUCACAUACAAUAUAUAUUAUACACGUGUACAUACUUAUAUUUGGUAAUUACAUAUUAUCUGUAUAUGAAAGUUUAUCAAAAUAGCGUCAUUGUUUUAUAAAAAGUGUGUAUGUAUAAAUCAUCUGUUUAUAAUAUGGCAUAUAUGCACGUAGUAACAUGUAUGUAUCACGAUACAAUAGGAACUUUUAAAGAUGUUUUUUAUCAACAUCUAUACUGACGAGGUCUAUACUAAUGAGAUCUAUACUGAAAAAAUAUCUAAAAAAUAGAAAAAAAUAUUUACUUGAUGCGUUAAUAAUAUGUUUAGUUAUAUAAUAUAAAAUAGUGUUUAAAUAAGGAAAUAUAUAUUUUCUUAAAAUCUAAAGAAAAUUUUAGCUUUUUAUAAAAAUAAUUGUUAAUUCUUUUUUAAUAAAAGAAUUUAGAUUAAUUAUUCUUCAUUAAAAGCUACAUCGUGUAAAUAUUUAGUAAAUUUUUUUCGAUAUUUUUUCUUCGGUACAUAAGGACGAAGUUUCUUGUUGAUACGUCUCUGAAACCACGUCUCUCUGAAAAAAAAACAUGACAAUGUUUUAAAAAUUGAUAUGUAUCACAAACGCAGUCUUAUUUACACGAAACUAAGAUAAUUGCUAAUAUUAAAAUGUAGUAUUGUAAUGA